AACGAACGCUGGCGGCAUGCCUAACACAUGCAAGUCGAACGAGACCUUCGGGUCUAGUGGCGCACGGGUGCGUAACGCGUGGGAACCUGCCCUUAGGUUCGGAAUAACUCCCCGAAAGGGGUGCUAAUACCGGAUAAUGUCUUCGGACCAAAGAUUUAUCGCCUUUGGAUGGGCCCGCGUUGGAUUAGCUAGUUGGUAGGGUAAAAGCCUACCAAGGCGACGAUCCAUAGCUGGUCUGAGAGGAUGAUCAGCCACACUGGGACUGAGACACGGCCCAGACUCCUACGCGAGGCAGCAGUGGGUAAUAUUGGACAAUGGGCGAAAGCCUGAUCCAGCAAUGCCGCGUGAGUGAUGAAGGCCUUAGGGUUGUAAAGCUCUUUUACCCGGGAUGAUAAUGACAGUACCGGGAGAAUAAGCACCGGCUAACUCCGUG
Molecule: ribosomal RNA, 433 nt
Filed under: uncultured bacterium
Lineage: Bacteria
Description: partial 16S ribosomal RNA
Rfam family: Bacterial small subunit ribosomal RNA
Source: RNAcentral